RNAcentral lists this ribosomal RNA (426 nucleotides) under uncultured Proteiniphilum sp. Its description in RNAcentral is "bacterial SSU rRNA". It matches the Rfam family "Bacterial small subunit ribosomal RNA", at positions 356 to 774 of the family's 1533-position model. The record is from RNAcentral. Lineage: Bacteria; Pseudomonadati; Bacteroidota; Bacteroidia; Bacteroidales; Dysgonomonadaceae.
GGGGAAUAUUGGACAAUGGGCGCAAGCCUGAUCCAGCCAUGCCGCGUGGGUGAAGAAGGCCUUCGGGUUGUAAAGCCCUUUUGUUGGGAAAGAAAAGCAGCCGGCCAAUACCCGGUUGUUCUGACGGUACCCAAAGAAUAAGCACCGGCUAACUUCGUGCCAGCAGCCGCGGUAAUACGGAGGAUCCGAGCGUUAUCCGGAUUUAUUGGGUUUAAAGGGUGCUCAGGCGGGGGAUUAAGUCGGCGGUGAAAUUUUGCAGCUCAACUGUAAAAGUGCCUUCGAAACUGGUUUCCUUGAGUGCGGAUGAGGUAGGCGGAAUUUGUGGUGUAGCGGUGAAAUGCAUAGAUAUCACGAGGAACUCCGAUUGCGCAGGCAGCUUACCAAGCCGUAACUGACGCUCAAGCACGAAGGCGUGGGGAUCAAACA